UUUAAAGACAUCGAUAUACGGAUUUCUCCUGAAAAAAC
This 38-nucleotide ribosomal RNA is filed under the name Plasmodium reichenowi. Lineage: Eukaryota; Apicomplexa; Aconoidasida; Haemosporida; Plasmodiidae. The record is from RNAcentral.